This 468-nucleotide ribosomal RNA is filed under the name uncultured bacterium. RNAcentral describes it as "partial 16S ribosomal RNA". It matches the Rfam family "Bacterial small subunit ribosomal RNA", at positions 28 to 507 of the family's 1533-position model. The record is from RNAcentral.
GACGAACGCUGGCGGCGUGCUUAACACAUGCAAGUCGAACGAUGAUGCCAGCUUGCUGGUGGAUUAGUGGCGAACGGGUGAGUAACGCGUGAGCAACCUGCCCCUGACUUCGGGAUAACCGCGGGAAACCGUGGCUAAUACCGGAUAUGACGCGCUAUCGCAUGGUGGUGUGUGGAAAGAUUUAUCGGUUGGGGAUGGGCUCGCGGCCUAUCAGCUUGUUGGUGGGGUGAUGGCCUACCAAGGCGACGACGGGUAGCCGGCCUGAGAGGGUGACCGGCCACACUGGGACUGAGACACGGCCCAGACUCCUACGGGAGGCAGCAGUGGGGAAUAUUGCACAAUGGGCGCAAGCCUGAUGCAGCGACGCCGCGUGAGGGAUGACGGCCUUCGGGUUGUAAACCUCUUUCAGUAGGGAAGAAGGCCUUCGGGUUGACGGUACCUGCAGAAGAAGCGCCGGCUAACUACGUG